AUAUUAAAAGUCAAUAAAAUAAAUGAUAUCUACGUGUGUGUGACACAUUUCAGCCCCAAUUUGAGGGUGUUGAUUGUGAAUGAUCUUAGGUACGAGUACGAGUGAUAAAAAUGGGUUGGGACGCAAAAUGAUUUGCUUGCUGUCAGCAAAUGGACCCCGAAAGCAGGGAAUCCAUUUUCCACUGGAACAUCCCACAUCCCACCCUUCACUGUAUCCACCAUCACUCUUCCUCUAUUUCUCUCUUGUCUGGUGACUACCGUUGAAUAUCCUUAGCCCAAAAAGAAAAAAGAAAAAAGAAAAAGAAUAUCCUUAGCAUACAUAGCCUUUAACAUGUAUAAUCCGAACCCAGACUCCCGUUACACGACCCGGAGACUUCACCCGCAAGAAGAUCCAAAUAGCACUCCAAACCCUCAGGUUCCGCUUCGGAACCUGUCCCUGGUUCGGACAAGAAUCGAUUCUCUACGAACCUUCUUAUCCCAAUCCAUCAACACAAACACUCCCCUCACCACCGAUCACAUAACCCUCGUCUCCAACCAGAUCGUCUCCGCCAUCCACAAUACCAUAGUCAACGCCGCCGCCCUCGUCUCCUACUCUGAAAAUCUCACCGUUCCCGGACCCUCUGUCUUCCCACCAUUAAAACUCAAACCAGAACCCUCCGCCGUGGACAAAACCAACCAUCAGAAGUCCGAUUCGAGAAUCGAACCCGCCGAAGACGACGACGACUACCUCGUCGACGAAGAUUGCGAAAUCGUGGAGCUCGACGCCGUGGAAUUGCUAGCAGAACACAUCCACUUCUGCGAGAUUUGCGGGAAAGGUUUCAAGCGCGACGCGAAUCUCCGGAUGCACAUGCGGGCGCACGGGAACAAGUUCAAGACGCCGGAAGCUCUCGCGAAACCUAUAGACGACGGAGGACGCCGCCGCGCGACGCGGUUCUCUUGUCCUUUCCAAGGAUGUAACAGAAACAAGAUGCAUAUGAAGUUUAGGGCGUUGAAAUCGGUGGUUUGUGUGAAGAAUCAUUUCAAGAGGAGCCAUUGCCCGAAGAUGUAUUCGUGCAACCGGUGCCAUAAGAAGAAUUACUCGGUGUUAUCGGAUUUGAAGAGCCAUAUGAAGCAGUGUGGUGAGUGUAGGUGGAAGUGUUCGUGUGGGACCACUUUUUCUAGGAAGGACAAGUUGUUUGGACACGUUGCACUAUUUGAGGGUCACAUGCCUGAUUUUCUAUUUGAAGAUGAGGAGAAAGAGAAAGGGAAGCAAGUUAUGGUUGAGGAGAGUGAAGAAGAUCCUAUGGCCAUGACAUUUACCCAAGUUGAAUUGGGUAUGGAUGAAGAGUUUUUUGAUGAUUUUGGCUCUAUUGAUAACUAUUGUUUGAGGGAAGUCUUGGGAUUUCCUAAUGCUAACUAGUUUCAUAUGAUGAUUCAAACAUUAAACCCAUGCAUAUGUAUUCUAUACCACCAAAUAAUGUCUCAUAUUGUGCAGCAAUCAAGAUUAAAGAUAGGUUAUAAACACCUACUUUCUCAAUCCAUCGAGUGCCUUUUUUCUCAAUUGAUCGAGUUCCUUUUUAUACAGGACAAAAUUGUAAGGACUCACACCAGAAUAGUAACUUGAGGUUGGAGUAUUGGUGUUGCGCCAUUGCCGGUUGAUAAGUUGAAGACACAUCCAACACAUCUUUAAGCAUUUUUUAGACACAUCACUCCUUCCUGAACAAACAAGAAUAUAACUUUUUUUUGUUUAACGGUGUUGCUGAAAAUGGUGGUUUCUUUAGAAGCAUUGGCAAUGGCUGGCGCAAGUGGUGUGGAGUGUAGCAUAGAUAUUGAAGAAUGGGAACGCAAAGAUUUAGAGCAAUAUCCACCACCACAUUUGCUAGCCCAAGAAGAAGAAGAAGAGAAAAGUAGCAUUAAUAGAGCCAGAAGGUACACUGCUCAGGGCAAAGUAUAUGGCCUUCCUACCACUACAAGUCAUUUCCUUCCGAAUAAAAACAGCAAGAAGAAUGACAGAGAAAGUUUCACCUUCACCAAUCAUGGAGAAAAAUUAGUUAGAACUAUGGAAACUAGAAGGCCAGAAGAAUGCACGAGGUCGAUAAAAUUAAUUAUGACCAGAGUGCUUGCUAUGUUAAUCAUGAUCUUGGGCCAUAAUUAAGCACAAGAGGUUCUAACAAAUUCUAUGUUUUGUCCAAAUGUGUUUUGACAUUUUAUCAAUAUUGAAAACCAAACAUGUUAUUUACUGCAUCA
Molecule: non-coding RNA, 2225 nt
Organism: Cicer arietinum (chickpea)
Lineage: Eukaryota; Viridiplantae; Streptophyta; Magnoliopsida; Fabales; Fabaceae
Source: RefSeq, a predicted model, not a curated record